RNAcentral lists this ribosomal RNA (433 nucleotides) under uncultured bacterium. Its description in RNAcentral is "partial 16S ribosomal RNA". It matches the Rfam family "Bacterial small subunit ribosomal RNA", at positions 29 to 507 of the family's 1533-position model. The record is from RNAcentral.
AACGAACGCUGGCGGCAUGCCUAACACAUGCAAGUCGAACGAGACCUUCGGGCCUAGUGGCGCACGGGUGCGUAACGCGUGGGAAGCUGCCCUUAGGUUCGGAAUAACUCCCCGAAAGGGGUGCUAAUACCGGAUAAUCUCUUCGGACCAAAGAUCUAUCGCCUUUGGAUGGGCGCGCGUUGGAUUAGCUAGUUGGUAGGGUAAAAGCCUACCAAGGCGACGAUCCAUAGCUGGUCGGUGAGGAUGAUCAGCCACACUGGGACUGAGACACGGCCCAGACUCCUACGGAAGGCAGCAGUGGGGAAUAUUGGACGAUGGGCGAAGGCCUGAUCCAGCAAUGCCGCGUAAGUGAUGAAGGCCUUAGGGUUGUAAAGCUCUUUUACCCGGGAUGAUAGUGACAGUACCGGGAGAAUAAGCUCCGGCUAACUCCGUG